CCUAGUAACGGCGAGUGAAGCGGGAAAAGCUCAAAUUUGAAAUCUGGCGGUCUACGGCCGUCCGAGUUGUAGUCUAGAGAGGUGUCUGCCGCGCCGGACCGUGUACAAGUCCCUUGGGAUAGGGCKUCAUAGAGGGUGAGAAUCCCGUCCAUGACACGGACAACCGGUGCUCUGUGAUGCGCCUUCAAAGAGUCGAGUUGUUUGGGAAUGCAGCUCAAAAUGGGUGGUAAAUCCCAUCUAAAGCUAAAUAUAGGCGAGAGACCGAUAGCGAACAAGUACCGUGAGGGAAAGAUGAAAAGCACUUUGGAAAGAGAGUUAAACAGUACGUGAAAUUGUUGAAAGGGAAACGCUUGGAGUCAGUCGCGUCCGCCGGGACUCAGCCGGGCUUUUGCUUGGUGCACUUCUCGGUGGAUGGGCCAGCAUCGAUUUCGGUUGCCGGACAAGGGCAAGGGGAAUGUGGCACCUUCGGGUGUGUUAUAGCCCCUCGUCGUAUACGGUGGCUGGGAUCGAGGUUUGCAGCACGCCUUAGCGGCCGGGGUUCGCCCACGCCACGUGCUUAGGAUG
RNAcentral lists this ribosomal RNA (564 nucleotides) under Protomerulius brachysporus. RNAcentral describes it as "partial 28S large subunit ribosomal RNA". It matches the Rfam family "Eukaryotic large subunit ribosomal RNA", at positions 79 to 625 of the family's 3401-position model. The record is from RNAcentral. Lineage: Eukaryota; Fungi; Basidiomycota; Agaricomycetes; Auriculariales; Hyaloriaceae.